AUGCAUCUCCACUUGUUCCUAGAACAACAACACAAACAAAAUGGUAUCCAAACUCAUUGGGACCAAAGAGUUUGUAACACCCCGGAUGUAACUUUUCCAAUUUGUACUCCAACUCUUGUCGUUUCCGGCGUUAAGUUAAUUUAUUUCCUCGGGUUCGGGUCUUUGUCUCCGUGUGUUGUUGUCGUUGUUAUGCAUCUCAUAUCAUGUCAUCAUGUGCAUUGCAUUUGCAUACGUGUUCGUCUCAUGCAUUCGAGCUUUUUCCCCAUUGUCCGUUUUGCAUUCCGGCGCUUCAUUCUCCUCCGGUGGUCAUUUCUACCUUUCUUUCGUGUGUGGGGAUUAAAUAUUUACGGAUUGGACCGAGACUUGCCAAGCGGCCUUGGUUUACUACUGUUAGACCGCCUGUCAAGUUUCGUAUCAUUUGGACUUCGUUUGAUACUCCAACGGUUAACCGAGGGACCGAAAAGGCCUCGUGUGUGUUGCAGCCCAACACCCCUCCAAUUUGGCCCAAAACCCACCUAA
RNAcentral lists this ribosomal RNA (519 nucleotides) under Triticum aestivum (bread wheat). Its description in RNAcentral is "partial small subunit ribosomal RNA". Lineage: Eukaryota; Viridiplantae; Streptophyta; Magnoliopsida; Poales; Poaceae. The record is from RNAcentral.